UACAGGAGGGAUGGAUUCCAUUCCCAGCACCUCAUAAACCUAGUAUGACGUGCAUGCCUCGUGUAUGCCUGAAUGCCUGGCACUUGGGAAGAGGAGAUAAGAAGAAUCAAGAAUUUAAGGCCAUUUUGCUACCACGUAGCAAGUAUGAGGCCACCCUGGUUACACGAGAUCUUUAUCUUCAAAGAAUCCGGAAAGCUUCUGGAAUUUGGCCUCGUACCUGCCGGCAAGAGUUCUCCCAUGUAACCACACUCCCAGCCAAGCUUUGCUUCUGAACUACUGGAGUGAAACCAUAGCUGCCACAUCAGAAGUUAGAAAUGUAAUCAGGAACUUUUCACAUCACUUAAAAAUGGCUACAAGCACUGACCAGGAACGGGCGUCAUCGCUCCUGACAUCUCUCCAGAGGAUACUGUUAUGGCCGGUGAGCUCAGGAAACACAUGUGCAGCGUGGCAGUCAGAGGCAGCUGGGUCCAGGGGCGCCAGUCUCCAGGACAUGAACAGAUGGACAGGUUUGCUGAAGUGUCUUCUAGAACAGCCUCCCCAUUAGGUGAGGGAGCUCUCUCUUAGGCUGAGAAUUUCCUAGGGGUAAGAACUUGUGGCUUGGCUUGUUCUAUCCCUCUGAGCUCUCAGUUUUCACCCCAAUAUCUGGCUCCAGGUUUUUUAUUAAUAAGACCAUUUAGCUAUUCAUAUUACAUCUCCUUAGUGAGUGGUUUUUGCUCCUAGGACCUCACUUUGAGCAGUCAGAGUCAGUUUGUCUCUUUUAGUUCAAAGUGGCUUACAUU
This is a non-coding RNA of Peromyscus maniculatus bairdii (prairie deer mouse), 779 nucleotides long. The record is from RefSeq and is a predicted model, not a curated record. Lineage: Eukaryota; Metazoa; Chordata; Mammalia; Rodentia; Cricetidae.